Eucalyptus grandis is the source of this 2681-nucleotide RNA transcript. RefSeq lists it as uncharacterized. The record is from RefSeq and is a predicted model, not a curated record. NCBI's taxonomy places the organism in Eukaryota, Viridiplantae, Streptophyta, Magnoliopsida, Myrtales, Myrtaceae. The transcript is spliced from 6 exons.
UGGCCGUAUAAAUUUCGGCGACCGCACACGACCAUUGCAAAAUCAAGCGAAGAAGGAGACCCCCCCUCUCUCUCUCUCUCUCUCUGAGCUUGUAAAAACUUUUAUCUUGAUUGAGUGUUUCGGUUCGUAUUUGCUUUCUCUCUUGUGUACGCUCUCGCGUGUUGUUGGGGUAGUAGUUGUCGUCGUCGUCCGUCUAGUGGAAGGAUUUAGAUGUAAUGAGACGGCUCUCGAGCGGCGGCGGGAGGCGGGUUUUGUCUUGCGCUGGGUCGUGUUUGGCGUGGUGAUUUUUAAAAUUAGUUCGGUGGCUGUGCCGUUCCAGUUUCGUUCUCUGGCUCGUGGUUGGGGAUUCUUCUCCGAGGGAGCUUCUAUGUUAUGAUAAACUUGCCUUUGGAGGCGUGGUCCGCCUGGUGGCGUAAGCCUAUGUGCAGUGCCGUGUGCAUGUGAUGGCAGACUGUUGGUGGUCGAAGCCGGAGUGUAUUGGUAGUAUUGACUAAUGGAGGUGGUGGUUUACAGUGGUCGUGCGGAGGUUUUGACGAAAAUGAUGGCAGAAACCUAUACUUGAACAAGCUGAAUCUGUUUACUUUUCCUGAUUUAUUGGAUUGGGAUUUUUAUUGUUCUGGGAUAUAGCAACUGUAAUUUUAUCUUUUGUCUCUUCUCAUAUGAUUGAUCGAAGUAAUUUAAUAAUUGACAUGUCAAUUAUUAAGGAAGCUUCUGGAGGUGAAGUACAAAAACACAUAGGCAAAGGAAAGCAGUCAUUCAGGACUUGUGGCGCUCUGGAUCCCCUAAAUUCGUCAGGUUCUUUCAGGCUAAUCAUCAGGUGUGAAUUUGAUAUGCUGCAGGGCUGCAAGAUCAUGAACAGGAUUAGCAGUGUUACACAAAGAUAUGAAGCGUCACUUCCAGGUGGUGGUGGAGAUGGAGUGGUCCCAGUGGUUGGGGCUGGCAGCUACCAGACGCAUGAAGUUUUGGCAUUAGUUAAGACAAAACGUUGAUUAGGCGUUCCCAGGUUCUCCAGAGGCAAAGGGUCAGUGGAUCCUUCAACUUUGAAGAUUCCGCAGGAAACAAAUUGCUGUGAGUCGCGAGAAUCUAGUCGAGAUUUGCAGGACCUUUCGAGUUCGAAACAUCUGAGGCUAUCAUGUGUUGCCAAUUGCAAGAGUGUGGAAGCUUCUGGAGGCAAAGUACAAAAACACAUGGGCAAAGGAGAGCGGUCAGGCUGCUGGACUUGUGGUGCUCUGGAUCCCCAAAACUCAUCAGGUUCUUUCAAGCUAAUCAUCAGGUAUGAAUUUGAUAUGCUGCAAGGCUGCAAGAAGCUGAACUUCAGAAUCUUGAGGGUUUCAUGUUGAAAUGUGGCCUUGACGGGCUGGGUUUUUUUGGUAAUAUUGGAUAUUCAUGGUUGCACUUCCCUUGGAAGAUUAUCGGAUCUAUUGUGCUUGAAAACAAAGGUUGAAACAUCAACCACUAUGAAAUGCUACAUGACAUUCAAAGCCUGAAGGUAUUCUCAUCCUGCAAAAGUUUGUGUAUUCAAGGAUGCAAGUCUUUAGCAAAAUUCCCUGAUGUGUUGAAAUUUGAAGAUUUAAGGAACUUGUUAGUGACAGCUUGUUGGGAGCUAUCAGACAACCCAGGACUCAGGAUUGAGAUACCUAUAAAAUAUAGAGAUUUCAUGAUGCUCGUCAAUUGUUGCAUGAGACUGCAACAAACUAAUUGAGCCCUGAGGGCUUGGAGACUAGGAGCUCCACAAGCUUUAGACAUUUCUAGAUGCAAGUCGCUAAAGCCAAUAUCUGAAUUGUCUUGAGCUUUUCUUAUAUAGAAUAUGAGCAGUUGUCAUGUCAGGUUUUCAUGAGAUCACAUUCUGGUGAUAGUUCGAUAUUUGAGACAAUCCCUGGUCCCCUAAUAAGGCAAAAUCUUAGACUUGAUAAAAUCAUGAAUGAAGCUGGCAAUCCUGGUGAUUCAUCCGUGAGUGAUUAUUUUUUGUAGAUUACUGAGUGAUUCAUGUUUCUUAGUUGGAAUGAAUUCUUUCUCUGUAUCAUGGUAGGAAUGUAACUGGCAGCCCUUGUUGGAGGACUAGACCAUAAGAGUGCCCCUGAAGAAAAUAAUUUGUCAUCUGCAUCCACUAUGAUUGCUCAAUCUUAACAUGAUAUCAGGAACCAGACUUUUAGAUUAAUAAUCUCUUUUAUGUUUUGUAUCUGAAGGCUGUUCUGCUUGCUGGCAGGUCAUCUAUAACGUGUUUGUUUUGUAUCCAUGGAAGCUUCUGGAGGCAAAGUACAAAAUCACAUUGGCAAAGGAGAGCAGUCAUGCUGCUGGACUGGUGGCACUCUGGAUCACCACAAUUCGUCGGGUUCUUGCUAGCUAAUCAUCAGGUGUGAAUUUGAUCUGCUGCAGGGCUGCAAGAGACUAGCAGUGUUACACGGAGAUAUGAAGUGUCACUUCCAGGUGGUGGCGGAGAUGGAGUGGUCCCAGUGGUUGGGGCUGGUAGCUACAGGGAUCCAGCUGACUGGAGUUGGGGGCAGUGUAAUUUUCACUGACAGUGACAGCUAAUUUUUGGCCUUGAGAGCAACGAUCGCUGUUAGCAAAGGUGUAGACAGAGUAAGACUCGCAGGCACUGUUGAGGGAAAUGUUGGCUGGUCCGUUGGUCAGUGUAUGAACAUAGAAGCACUGUGGCAGUUAUUAUUAUCACCAUUUGACAU